RNAcentral lists this ribosomal RNA (301 nucleotides) under uncultured bacterium. Its description in RNAcentral is "partial 16S ribosomal RNA". It matches the Rfam family "Bacterial small subunit ribosomal RNA", at positions 509 to 809 of the family's 1533-position model. The record is from RNAcentral.
CAGCCGCCGCGGUAAUACGUAGGUGGCAAGCGUUGUCCGGAAUUAUUGGGCGUAAAGCGCGCGCAGGCGGAUAGGUCAGUCUGUCUUAAAAGUUCGGGGCUUAACCCCGUGAUGGGAUGGAAACUGCCAAUCUAGAGUAUCGGAGAGGAAAGUGGAAUUCCUAGUGUAGCGGUGAAAUGCGUAGAUAUUAGGAAGAACACCAGUGGCGAAGGCGACUCUCUGGACGAAAACUGACGCUGAGGCGCGAAAGCCAGGGGAGCGAACGGGAUUAGAUACCCCUGUAGUCCCUGUCUCUUAUACA